GAAUCUUGCACAAUGGGCGCAAGCCUGAUGCAGCAACGCCGCGUGCGGGAAGAAGGCCCUAGGGUUGUAAACCGCUUUCAGCAGGGAAGAAAAUGACGGUACCUGUAGAAGAAGGUGCGGCCAACUACGUGCCAGCAGCCGCGGUGACACGUAGGCACCAAGCGUUGUCCGGAUUUAUUGGGCGUAAAGAGCUUGUAGGCGGUUCGGUUAGUCGGGUGUGAAACCUCUGGGCUCAACUCAGAGACGCCACCCGAUACUGCUGUGACUAGAGUGCGGUAGGGGAGCGGGGAAUUCCUGGUGUAGCGGUGAAAUGCGCAGAUAUCAGGAGGAACACCAGUGGCGAAGGCGCCGCUCUGGGCCGUAACUGACGCUGAGAAGCGAAAGCGUGGGGAGCAAACAGG
This 401-nucleotide ribosomal RNA is filed under the name uncultured bacterium. RNAcentral's name for it is "bacterial SSU rRNA". It matches the Rfam family "Bacterial small subunit ribosomal RNA", at positions 359 to 776 of the family's 1533-position model. The record is from RNAcentral.